Molecule: long non-coding RNA, 1038 nt
Organism: Cyprinus carpio carpio
Lineage: Eukaryota; Metazoa; Chordata; Actinopteri; Cypriniformes; Cyprinidae
Source: Ensembl
AUGUUGCAAGCGGCCAAUUCCCCUGUGCACCUCAGCACUGAAAGAGCCUUUCCUAAAGAGCAAAUUUCUCUAAAAGAGUUUCAUGGGUGCCUCUGUGUAAAGGCGAUGGAUCGUCCUUAUAAGGAUGCCGUUUCACCUGUGCGUUUCUGGGUGCGGUCGUUACCUGGUCGCGAUCACCCAUCCUGGCCCCCGUCAAACCUGGCGGUGAGCGGAAGAGCAGGAGGCCCCGGGACGGGUGACCCAGAGAGAGGUAGCCGCUUUCUGGGGGAUGGUGAAAGCACCUCUCCCUCCCCUGGAGGAGGGCCGGGUGGAGAAUCUGGAAAUCUCAACGAGAGAGCGGUUUUCUCUAUCUCUGGGUCCCAGGAGGGCACAGAGAGUUGUGGAAGGCCAAGCACCGGACCUCACUCAUCCUCCUCCUUCGCCAGAUGGGAGCAGCGGGCAGUUCGAGAGUGUCAACGAAGGCCCUACUUACGCACCCUCUGCCAACCUGUGGAACCAGGUAAGCCUUACACCCAAACACUCACAAGCUCACAAGCUGCCCGAGUUGGGUCCCUGUGUUCCACCGCGCUGCCCCACUGCGGGUACGGCUGUGGUUCUGGUGUUCCCGCUUGUACGGUUUCUAAGCAUCUGGUCAGCGCUACUCAGCCCGUCUCGCUGGCUUCUUCAGACCAUCAGCCUCGGCUAUGCGAUUCAGUUCGCCCAGCGUCCCCCCAAGUUCAGCAGUAUCCGCUUCACUACAGUGAAAGCGUCCGAUGCCCCUGUUCUGUGGGUAGAGAUCGCAGUCCUACUGGUGAAGGACGCGAUAGAGUCGGUCCCUCCAGCCGAUAUGAGGACGGGGUUUUACAGCCCUUACUUCAUUGUACCCAAGAAAGGCAGUGGGUUACGAUCGAUCUUGGAUCUGUGAGUUUUGAACUGGUUCCUUCAUCGGCUACCGUUCAAGAUGUUGACGCAGAAACGCAUCUUCGGGUGCAUCCGGUGCUCUGGCACCUCAGCCUGUUGGGCCUUCGGGUCAACAGGGGAAAGAGCUACUCGAUGUAG